Homo sapiens (human) is the source of this 1392-nucleotide long non-coding RNA. Ensembl annotates it as long intergenic non-protein coding RNA 3000. The record is from Ensembl. Lineage: Eukaryota; Metazoa; Chordata; Mammalia; Primates; Hominidae.
AUAUGAUCUCUGCCACAACUAUUGAACUCUGUCAUCAUAGCAUAAAAGUAGCCAGAGACAACACAUACACAAAUGAGCAUAGCUAUGACCCAAUGAAACAUUAUUUACUAAAACAGGUAGUGGGCCAGAUUUGCCAAUUAUUGUACUAUAAUGGAUACACUUUCUCUCACAAGAGAAUUCUACCAUAGGUAAUAAUUUUAUAUUUGUAUAUUUGUGCAAUGAUGCCAAAACGUAAAUGAACAGAAAUGUUUAAAAAACAUGAUGUUUUUUAAACAUUGUUAAAAAACAAGACCAAAGCAUAAUGUUUAAGAAAUGUGAAUGUAUAUUUCCAUCUUUAAAGGCAUUUGAAUACAGUACAUGAAAUUCAAAACCUCAGUUGUGAAUUCGCUAUUUACCAAUGACAAGGUUUAAGUUCUUCAGUGGCCAUGAGUAAGUUAAGUUUGUCAUCACUUUUUGCCCUGGUGUAGUAUUUUCCAAAUAGUAAAUGCUCAAUUCACAUGUACAUUAAAGUAAAUACUAAGAAAACCCUCACAUGUAACUAGACACAAUUCUAUUCAUGUAUCUUUGAAAUCAACUGGAGACAUUAUCAAUUAAUGCAAAGAUCCUGGGCUUUCAAUCCAAAGAAGCUUACCUCUCUGCUCCAGAUGCUCAUCUUGCUGGCUGUGUGUCUCCAGGGAAUUGAAGCACCUUGAAAAGGAUAAGAAAACUUCAACAUUACAACGAUGUUUCAUAUCAUUAGGCUCAAAUUAAGUAAAUAACAGAAUCCUAAGCUGAUGACACAUCCUGGGUUUGCACUAAUCAUAAUUUGCAAUCUCCAUCAUUGUCAUCAGAACCUUUUUGCCUAGCAACAUUCCUGCUGCUGCUUCUGUUCCGACCCUCUGGGUGCAACUGAAGGAGGAGGCAGUCAAAAGGAAAAACACAAAUAUCUCCAAGAUGGCACUUACAAAAAGCAACAACAAUGACAAAGUAUAAAUACAAACACACACCUUGAAGUUUAUGUUCUUACUCAAAUGCAAGCAUCAACAAUGGCCUACUGUCAGCAAGUUAAAUGGCUGGGGCUGUUUCAGUCUCCCAUUACAUGAAGCACAACGUGAUGCAGCUGAUCACUCUCUCCUCCUUGAAACUCCUCCUUCACCUAACUUCCAAGGCAUCACAUGCUCCCAGACCUCACUGGCAUUACCUUCUUCAUCUCCUGGGCUGCUCACUCCUGAUUCCCCCAACUUCUACAGAAUCUUCUGGAGAGGAAAGAAGAAACCAUGUCUAGACAAGGUGCUGGAAAGACCCAGGGAAGACACAGGUGAGCUAAGAAAGCAGUAGAAACUGGGUAAUUAAAAGUCAACAUAAUGGCUGGAAACUUGUUCAAGGAGAUAUAAAAAGAAAGAAAAACCAAAA